UCUACUUUGCCCAAAUGCUGCAGAAACGAUUCACCGUUAUAUACAACAAUGCACCCUCACAGGUCUGCUGGACGAAAACUACGAAGGGUCAUCUUGGGACAGAGUGGAGCGCUUGAUCGUUUUAACCUGGCAGCCAGAGGAAUAUUGACAAAUGGCCUCCUCCACUUCUUGGCAAAUCUUCCCAGCCCCUUUCCCAAGCAGCCUGCCCCUCUGCUGAAAGAGAGUGAAGAGGGAAGAAAGGGACAGAGCUGGGCAGAGGAGGGCAGCUGCGUGUACGUCCUGCGGGAGCUGUGUGGGGGGGCCUGUCGGGGGCACAGCUCUGAUGUGAGGGGGGUG
Molecule: long non-coding RNA, 336 nt
Organism: Anguilla rostrata (American eel)
Lineage: Eukaryota; Metazoa; Chordata; Actinopteri; Anguilliformes; Anguillidae
Exons: 3
Source: RefSeq, a predicted model, not a curated record